CACGUAGGGCGCAAGCGUUGUCCGGAAUUAUUGGGCGUAAAGAGCUCGUAGGCGGUCUGUUGCGUCUGCUGUGAAAACUCGGGGCUUAACCCCGAGCCUGCAGUGGAUACGGGCAGACUAGAGGUAGGUAGGGGAGAAUGGAAUUCCCGGUGUAGCAGUGAAAUGCGUAGAGAUCAUGAGGAAGACCAGUGGCGAAGGCGGGUCUCUGGACAGUUCCUGACACUGAGACACGAAGGCCAGGGGAGCAAACGGG
This 253-nucleotide ribosomal RNA is filed under the name uncultured bacterium. RNAcentral describes it as "partial 16S ribosomal RNA". It matches the Rfam family "Bacterial small subunit ribosomal RNA", at positions 524 to 776 of the family's 1533-position model. The record is from RNAcentral.